UCAAACUUGGUCAUUUAGAGGAAGUAAAAGUCGUAACAAGGUUUCCGUAGGUGAACCUGCGGAAGGAUCAUUACCAAUGAGAAGUGACAGCCGCCAUCGUGCCCUGUCCCUUACACCCUAUGUGUACCUCACUGCUGUUGCUUCGGCGGGCCUGGCCCUUUGCGGCCGGCCGGCCCCCUUUAGGGGGUUGGCCAGCGCCCGCCGGAGGACCAACCAAAUGCUGUUUUGUGAUGCUGUCUGAGCUUUACAAGCGAAUAUAAUAAAACUUUCAACAACGGAUCUCUUGGUUCUGGCAUCGAUGAAGAACGCAGC
RNAcentral lists this unclassified non-coding RNA (312 nucleotides) under uncultured fungus. RNAcentral's name for it is "partial contains small subunit ribosomal RNA, internal transcribed spacer 1, and 5.8S ribosomal RNA". The stretch from base 1 to 73 matches the Rfam family "Eukaryotic small subunit ribosomal RNA", at positions 1759 to 1831 of the family's 1831-position model. The record is from RNAcentral. Lineage: Eukaryota; Fungi.